Molecule: long non-coding RNA, 281 nt
Filed under: Mus caroli (Ryukyu mouse)
Lineage: Eukaryota; Metazoa; Chordata; Mammalia; Rodentia; Muridae
Description: lncRNA (MGP_CAROLIEiJ_G0004440.1)
Source: RNAcentral
GGAGACACCAGAGCAGCUGAGGGAAAUGAGAUCUGUAUCUGGCAGAGGGGACGAGACCCACCUGGACCAUGGCGGCUUUAAUGUCACUUGUCCUUCUUAAGAAACAAGAUAAACCUCUCUGUCUUCAUAGUCUAGCCCAUGAUGACAGGAGGAACGGGCUGUGUGCUGCUGUCCAGCUAUAGGCCCCUGAACGACUCCCCCAGAUGUGUGCAGAAGCGUAAGCACUCGUGUGCACAACGUUUGUGCAGCAUGUGGCUUCUCUGUGUCAGGCACACAGAGGU